RNAcentral lists this ribosomal RNA (1563 nucleotides) under Candidatus Hodgkinia cicadicola. RNAcentral describes it as "bacterial SSU rRNA". It matches the Rfam family "Bacterial small subunit ribosomal RNA". Lineage: Bacteria; Pseudomonadati; Pseudomonadota; Alphaproteobacteria; Hyphomicrobiales. The record is from RNAcentral.
AGAGUUUGAUCCUGGCUCAGAACGAAUGCUGGCGGCAGGCCUAACACAUGCAAGUCAAGCGAACAACCACAUACAGGUUGUUAGCGGCGAACGGGUGAGUAACACGUGAGAAUCUACCUUGUUCAACGGGAUAGCUUAAGGAAACUUAGGGUAAUACUGUAUGAUUCCAAGAUUUUGGUAAAGAGACUAAUCGGAACAAGAUGAGCUUGCGGUAGAUUAGCUAGUUGGUGGGGUAAAGGCCUACCAAGGCACAGAUCUAUAGCUGGUCUGAGAGGACGGACAGCCACAUUGGGACUGAGACAAGGCCCAGACUUCUACGGAAGGCAGCAGUGAGGAAUAUUGGACAAUGGACGAAAGUCUGAUCCAGCCAUGCCGCAUGAGUGACGAAGAUCUUUAAAAACGGGUACAGAACAUGUACCUCUGGAUUGUAAAACUCUGUUUGUUUAGUGAUAAUAGUGAUAGUAACUAAACAAAAGCUCCGGCCAACUUCGUGCCAGCAGCCGCGGUAAUACGAGGGGAGCGAGUGUUGUUCGAUAUUAUUGGGCGUAAAGGGUAUGUAGGCGGUUAUGCAAGUCAACAGUUAAAUCUUGGAAUUUAAUUCCAUAGCAGUUGUUGAUACUACAUAACUACGAACUUAAUAGAGGUGAACACAAUUCCAAGUGUAGAGGUGAAAUUCGUUGAUAUUUGGAGGAGUACCAAAGGCGAAGGCAGUUCAUUGGGUUAAGUUGACGCUGAGGUACGAAAGCGUGGGGAGCAAACAGGAUUAGAUACCCUGGUAGUCCACGCCCUAAACGAUGAGUGCUAACAUGUUGGAUGUAAAAAAAAACAUCCGGAGGUACAUCUUCGGAUAUACCAAAGGUUGCAUGUUUAUGUUCGAUUGUAUAGCUAACGCGUUAAGCACUCCGCCUGGGGAUUACGACCGCAAGGUUAAAACUCAAAGGAAUUGACGGAGAUCCGCACAAGCGGUGGAGCAUGUGGUUUAAUUCGAAUCUACACGAAGAACCUUACCAGCCCUUGACAUUUUUGGUUAAACCUGUUGGAAACAACAUGCCGCUUACAACAAAGUAAGAAGACCUUAAACAGGUGCUGCAUGGCUGUUGUCAGCUCGUGCCGUGAGGUGUAUGGUUAAGUUCCAUAACGAGCGGAACCCUUACUCAUAGUUGCCGAAACCAAAUAAUGAGUGGCUCUCUAUGAGGACUGCUAACGACAAGUUAGAGGAAGGUGAGGACAACGACAAGUCAUCAUGGCCCUUAUGGGCUGGGCCACACACGUGCUACAAUGGCAACUACAAAGAGUCGCAAUAUCGUGAGGUGGAGCUAAUCUCAAAAAAGUUGUCUAAGUUCGGAUUGUACUCUGCAACCCGAGUACAUGAAGUAGGAAUCGCUAGUAAUCGUGGAUCAGCAUGCCACGGUGAAUACGUUCUCGGAUCUUGUACACACCGCCCGUCACACCAUGGGAACCGAUUUUAUCUGAAGGUUCUAGAUUUAGAAACCAAUGUAAGGUUGAUGACCGAGGUGAAGUCGUAACAAGGUAGCCGUAGGGGAACCUGUGGCUGAAAACAAU